RNAcentral lists this ribosomal RNA (433 nucleotides) under Ochrobactrum sp. HE105B. Its description in RNAcentral is "bacterial SSU rRNA". It matches the Rfam family "Bacterial small subunit ribosomal RNA", at positions 38 to 515 of the family's 1533-position model. Lineage: Bacteria; Pseudomonadati; Pseudomonadota; Alphaproteobacteria; Hyphomicrobiales; Brucellaceae. The record is from RNAcentral.
GACAAAGGCGGCGGCUUACACAUGCAAGUCGAGCGCCCCGCAAGGGGAGCGGCAGACGGGUGAGUAACGCGUGGGAACGUACCUUUUGCUACGGAAUAACUCAGGGAAACUUGUGCUAAUACCGUAUGUGCCCUUCGGGGGAAAGAUUUAUCGGCAAAGGAUCGGCCCGCGUUGGAUUAGCUAGUUGGUGAGGUAAAGGCUCACCAAGGCGACGAUCCAUAGCUGGUCUGAGAGGAUGAUCAGCCACACUGGGACUGAGACACGGCCCAGACUCCUACGGGAGGCAGCAGUGGGGAAUAUUGGACAAUGGGCGCAAGCCUGAUCCAGCCAUGCCGCGUGAGUGAUGAAGGCCCUAGGGUUGUAAAGCUCUUUCACCGGUGAAGAUAAUGACGGUAACCGGAGAAGAAGCCCCGGCUAACUUCGUGCCAGCACC